AUAUAGCUCAGAGAGCUCCGCUCUUGCUAUUGGGGGCGGAUGUCAGCGGUUCGAGUCCGCUUAUCUCCA
This 69-nucleotide transfer RNA is filed under the name Arceuthobium verticilliflorum. RNAcentral's name for it is "tRNA-Ala". It matches the Rfam family "tRNA". From Rfam's summary of the family: Transfer RNA (tRNA) molecules are approximately 80 nucleotides in length. Their secondary structure includes four short double-helical elements and three loops (D, anti-codon, and T loops). Further hydrogen bonds mediate the characteristic L-shaped molecular structure. tRNAs have two regions of fundamental functional importance: the anti-codon, which is responsible for specific mRNA codon recognition, and the 3' end, to which the tRNAs corresponding amino acid is attached (by aminoacyl-tRNA synthetases). tRNAs cope with the degeneracy of the genetic code in two manners: having more than one tRNA (with a specific anti-codon) for a particular amino acid; and 'wobble' base-pairing, i.e. permitting non-standard base-pairing at the 3rd anti-codon position. RNAcentral also lists the same sequence under 1 other name. The record is from RNAcentral. Lineage: Eukaryota; Viridiplantae; Streptophyta; Magnoliopsida; Santalales; Viscaceae.